RNAcentral lists this ribosomal RNA (468 nucleotides) under uncultured bacterium. RNAcentral describes it as "partial 16S ribosomal RNA". It matches the Rfam family "Bacterial small subunit ribosomal RNA", at positions 28 to 507 of the family's 1533-position model. The record is from RNAcentral.
GACGAACGCUGGCGGCGUGCUUAACACAUGCAAGUCGAACGGUAAGGCCCUGCUUUUGUGGGGUGCUCGAGUGGCGAACGGGUGAGUAACACGUGAGUAACCUGCCCUUGACUUUGGGAUAACUUCAGGAAACUGGGGCUAAUACCGGAUAGGAGCUCCUGCUGCAUGGUGGGGGUGGGAAAGUUUCGGCGGGUGGGGCUGGACUCGCGGCUUAUCAGCUUGUUGGUGGGGUAGUGGCUUACCAAGGGUUUGACGGGUAGCCGGCCUGUGAGGGUGACCGGCCUCAUUGGGACUAAGAGAGGGCCCAGACUCGUACGGGAGGCAGUAGUGGGGAAUAUUGCACAAUGGGCGCAAGCCUGAUACAGAAACGCCGCGGGCGGGAUGACGGCCUUCGGGUUGUAAACCGCUUUCGCCUGUGACGAAGCUUGAGUGACGGUAAUGGGUAAAGAAGCACCGGCUAACUACGUG